This 78-nucleotide ribosomal RNA is filed under the name Listeria monocytogenes. Its description in RNAcentral is "partial 23S ribosomal RNA". Lineage: Bacteria; Bacillati; Bacillota; Bacilli; Caryophanales; Listeriaceae. The record is from RNAcentral.
UUCUAAGUUACUUAGAGCAUACGGUGGAUGCCUGGGCACAAGGAGCCGAUGAAGGACGUGGGAGUCUGCGAUAAGCCU